This 206-nucleotide ribosomal RNA is filed under the name uncultured bacterium. RNAcentral describes it as "partial 16S ribosomal RNA". It matches the Rfam family "Bacterial small subunit ribosomal RNA", at positions 1286 to 1500 of the family's 1533-position model. The record is from RNAcentral.
UCUCAGUUCGGAUUGGAGUCUGNAACCCGACUCCAUGAAGCUGGAUUCGCUGUAAUCGCGCAUCAGCCACGGCGCGGUGAAUACGUUCCCGGGCCUUGUACACACCGCCCGUCAAGCCAUGGAAGCCGGGAGUGCCUGAAGUGCGUGACCGCAAGGAGCGUCCUAAGGCAAUACCGGUGACUGGGGCUAAGUCGUAACAAGGUAUC